UGGAGACCAAUGCAGGUGGAUGGGAGUGGAGUAAUAGCGAUGUGCUGGAUUACACUGCCUGGGAGAAACACCCCGCCAGCAUUUCAAAACCUGACUAUUGUGGGACCUUGUCAGGAAGCUCAGGAUAUCUGUCAUGGAAAGAUUAUGACUGUAAAAAGGAGUUACCCUAUAUCUGCAAGUUCAAGGGUUAGGUCAGGUGAAAACCAAUGACCUGAGUUUCAUAAAUAGCUCGUCAUGGAUAUGGGACCAAGUGAGAAGAUUCAUCCAGGAAGAUAAUAUUCUUCCCAUACUUCAAACCUGACCACCUCAUUCUGACCUUCCAUCCUCCCCACCCUCUUUUCAGGCUUUGUACAGAAUUAUGUAACAUGAAUUUUGAAAGCGCAAUAAUAAAAAUUUAGUCUGUUA
This is an RNA transcript of Myotis davidii, 405 nucleotides long. RefSeq lists it as uncharacterized. The transcript has 2 exons. NCBI's taxonomy places the organism in Eukaryota, Metazoa, Chordata, Mammalia, Chiroptera, Vespertilionidae. The record is from RefSeq and is a predicted model, not a curated record.